GGUCAGGACAUUCGAUUUCAGCAUGGUGAACUCCGCCAGGUCGGGAACGAAGCAACGGUAACUUCUGUUGGAUUGUGAUUGUUCUGACCCCU
This 92-nucleotide signal recognition particle RNA is filed under the name Halobacteriovoraceae bacterium. RNAcentral describes it as "signal recognition particle sRNA small type". It matches the Rfam family "Bacterial small signal recognition particle RNA". Rfam says of the family: The signal recognition particle (SRP) is a universally conserved ribonucleoprotein involved in the co-translational targeting of proteins to membranes. Archaeal SRP consists of a 7S RNA and homologues of the eukaryotic SRP19 and SRP54 proteins. Lineage: Bacteria; Pseudomonadati; Bdellovibrionota; Bacteriovoracia; Bacteriovoracales; Halobacteriovoraceae. The record is from RNAcentral.